Molecule: non-coding RNA, 2725 nt
Organism: Styela clava
Lineage: Eukaryota; Metazoa; Chordata; Ascidiacea; Stolidobranchia; Styelidae
Source: RefSeq, a predicted model, not a curated record
AGUUAGAAAAAAAUAGGCAAUAAGACGCCUCCAGUUCUGUACGAAUAUACGGUACAAACGGGGAAUUUCAAUUCAGGAUGCAAAGUUUCACGUGAGAGACGUUAUCACAUAUGAUCACAAGGAGUCAUGUUGUGCUUCCGUGCAAAAAUCAAAGUUCGUUAUACAUUACUGUUGUUCUCGUUUUUUGCCUUUUCAUUUUAUGGCAUUGCAAGAGUUCGGACAUUUUUACAUCACACAGUAGCCAAGGAAACAAAUAAUGACGUAGCUCCUGACGUCAUUCGUCGCUCUUUAACCGCAAGGUGGCACGACAGUAGGGAACUUCUCAAUAAAAUUUCUAAAACGAGGAAUAAGUUUUUAGCUGGAGAGAGAACACCUCCGAAAUGGGACUCUGGCGUAGAUGGGCAACUAGUCAUCGAAGAAGACAAUUGGCCGCCAACAAAGUCUGACCCUGUGACCCAAAAGGACUUGAUAGCAAACGAAAAUGAAAUUAUUGAAAAUAGUGAUAUAGAUAUUCCCGACUCUUGGGAUGAGAAUUCUUUAAUAGACGAUAAAAAUGAAGCCGAAUUGCGUGAAACUACUGUUCCUAAUCCUGAAGAAGACUUUGGGGGAAAUAAUUACGAUGAUGCUGAUGUUCAAGAUUCAAAAAAACAAAAUACGUACAAUAAAGAUUUUAUGGAUGAUAUAGAAGCUCAAUCUAGGGAAGCUUAUCCAGGAAUUGAAGAAAGCAGACAGAAUAAUCACAAAAAAGAUGAUCCCACGCAGAAUUUUCAACUCAACCUGAAACUUGACACGAGACAUGAUGACGAACAGCCGCAAUAUGAUAACGGAGACGUUCAUGCUGAAACCAUCGAGGAAUACGGUGAAAACGAGGAAGAAGAUGAACCAGAAAUUGCUGAAGACGCUGAAGAAUACGACGAUAAUAAACCCGACGAAAAUAAUCAAGGAAUUGCCACGGAAAAAAUACCUGAAAAUAGAAAUACAAAUCAAAAAUUUAAUAAAACAAUUUUCCAGCCAAAUGACAGCAAAAUCAAGUAUUACAUAUCUGAAAACUUGGAAUCGUUCACUCGUUCACAAAUUAAUGGAAGCAGAAUUGCGAAUUUUGGAAGAGCAAAUGAUUUUCCCAUGUCUCCAGAAGAUGCGGUCAGAAAAUAUGGCGAUGAUCUUCCAUCUUGGGAGAAAUAUGAGAUUUUUCAUUAUCCAAAAAUAUAUUAUCUCGGACUUGGAGCAAACAAAACUCGAGUUCAACAAAACAUAAGCAAUAAUUUUGGAUUCGAUUUUGAUGCAGGAACGGAAAAGGAAGGACAUUAUAAAGUGGUGAUAGGCGAUCACAUAGGUUAUCGAUAUGAAAUACUGAAGUAUGUUGAUGCUGGUACAUUCGGUGCUGUUGUCCUGGCAAGAGAUUGGUCAAACCCGAUUGCCAGAGACGUAGCUCUGAAGAUCAUGCAUUUAGAUGAAGAAGAAAAAUAUUUUCUGAGAGAAGUCAGAAUGAUGGAAUACUUGGAAAAAUAUGCAUCAAAUCAUAAUUAUUUUUCGAGAAUGAUCGCGACGUUUCAGUUCCGUAAUCAUUGGUGCAUUGUCAUGGAAUUACUCGGGCACGCCGUUGAUCGUCACUACUUGGGACACCCAGUACGAGAUCCUCAUAUAUUGAGGCAAUUCUCCAGCGAUAUCAUAAAAGCAAUGUAUUAUCUGAACGAACUCAAUAUUGUGCACGGAGAUUUAAAACCGGACAACAUCAUGUACAUAUACGGAAAGAAUAAUGAAAGUAAAGGACAACUUCUAAAAGUAGCAGAUUUUGGAAUAAGUUGUAUCCCUGGCUCGGAAGAUUAUCACUGCCCUGAGUAUUACAUCCAAACUCGUUAUUACCGAGCACCAGAGGUUAUUCUGAGUUUACCGAUCACUCCCCAGUGUGACAUGUUCAGUGUCGGAGUGAUUUUGGCAGAGUUCUGGUUGGGUGUUCCACCUUUCUUUGGGGAAACCGAGGCCGAUCAACUGGCAGCAAUGAUGGAAGUAAUCGGCCUUCCACCAACAUACAUGAUUGCAAAAUCUCGGAGAAAGAAAAUCUAUGCAAAAGCAAUAUGUUACACAACUGAAAACGGAUUUCACCGUAAACCUUAUCGCAAGCCUUUGACCAAAGUCCUGAACGGAAUGGAUCCAAUGUUGUUUGAUUUAAUUGCAAGAUGUCUGGAAUGGGAUCCAAAGGUGAGGAUAACUCCAGAAAAAGCGUUACGGCACCCAUUCUUCACUGGAUCAUAUCCAGCUGUUGGACUCCCACCACCAUUACUCAUUAAGCGGUUAUUUGGUGAAGUUUGAUGCGAUAUUGAGCUACCAAAAGAUACAGGAACGACGCACCGGAAAUUUUUGAAAUAUUUGUUGCUUUUUGCCUUGUUUAAUUCUUCAAUUAAUGAGAGUAAGGUAGAUGUGCUAGAAGGUAGAAUGCUAAGCGUGAUAUUGCAAACUGGUACCAUUGAAUAAUGAAAUGGGUAUUGCAUUAUAGAAGCACGAUUGUAGAAUGUGCAGACCAUAAUUCGUCAGUGGCGCGGGAUUUUAAUAAAAAACAAUAUUAUCGUCACGUGAGCCAAAUAUUUAUUGUAAUUUUUGCGCAUAAAAUGUUUGUGCUGGAUUUUCUGUUGGAAUUCUGUUUUAUGCAAACGAAUCCAGUGCCUCGUUUUAUCAAAUUAAUCAUACAAUGUUUCAACAAUAAAAUAAAAAAUAACUUAGCGGGUAC